CCAUGCAAGUCGAGCGGUAAGGCCCUUCGGGGUACACGAGCGGCGAACGGGUGAGUAACACGUGAGCAACCUGCCCCUGACUCUGGGAUAAGCGGUGGAAACGCCGUCUAAUACCGGAUACGACCCGCCACCUCAUGGUGGAGGGUGGAAAGUUUUUCGGUCAGGGAUGGGCUCGCGGCCUAUCAGCUUGUUGGUGGGGUAACGGCCUACCAAGGCGAUUACGGGUAGCCGGCCUGAGAGGGCGACCGGCCACACUGGGACUGAGACACGGCCCAGACUCCUGCGGGAGGCAGCAGUGGGGAAUAUUGCGCAAUGGGCGAAAGCCUGACGCAGCGACGCCGCGUGGGGGAUGACGGCCUUCGGGUUGUAAACCUCUUUUACCACCAACGCAGGCUUCCAGUUCUCUGGAGGUUGACGGUAGGUGGGGAAUAAGGACCGGCUAACUACGUGCCAGCAGCCGCGGUAAUACGUAGGGUCCGAGCGUUGUCCGGAAUUAUUGGGCGUAAAGAGCUCGUAGGCGGCGUGUCGCGUCUGCUGUGAAAGACCGGGGCUUAACUCCGGUUCUGCAGUGGAUACGGGCAUGCUAGAGGUAGGUAGGGGAGACUGGAAUUCCUGGUGUAGCGGUGAAAUGCGCAGAUAUCAGGAGGAACACCGGUGGCGAAGGCGGGUCUCUGGGCCUUACCUGACGCUGAGGAGCGAAAGCAUGGGGAGCGAACAGGAUUAGAUACCCUGGUAGUCCAUGCCGUAAACGUUGGGCGCUAGGUGUGGGGACUUUCCACGGUUUCCGCGCCGUAGCUAACGCAUUAAGCGCCCCGCCUGGGGAGUACGGCCGCAAGGCUAAAACUCAAAGGAAUUGACGGGGGCCCGCACAAGCGGCGGAGCAUGUUGC
This 889-nucleotide ribosomal RNA is filed under the name actinomycete CXB683. RNAcentral's name for it is "bacterial SSU rRNA". It matches the Rfam family "Bacterial small subunit ribosomal RNA", at positions 53 to 945 of the family's 1533-position model. The record is from RNAcentral. Lineage: Bacteria; Bacillati; Actinomycetota; Actinomycetes; Actinomycetales.